GUGCUUGCUUUGGCAGCACGUAUACUAAAAUUGGAACGAUACAAAGAAGAUUAGCAUGGCCCCUACGCAAGGAUGACAUGCAAAUUCAUGAAGUGUUCCAUAUUAAA
RNAcentral lists this small nuclear RNA (107 nucleotides) under Microcebus murinus (gray mouse lemur). The record is from RNAcentral. Lineage: Eukaryota; Metazoa; Chordata; Mammalia; Primates; Cheirogaleidae.